CCUCGCUUGUUCGCCUCGGAAUCUGUGCACGGGAAUUGCAACAGCCAAAUUAAAGCUUCAGAAUUCGCUUUCCGGUGGAGAACGACGGCCGCAUUCACGCCCAAUAAACCAGCUGGAGCCAGUAGAAAAGCUUACUUAUGUUUCUCGAUUCGAAAAACCAUUUUACAUAUGGAAGUAGAGGAACACCGGAAUUCGCCAUUGUUCGAGUUUCCAUCUUUUUCUCCAAGUAUGUUCUCUGUCCAAGGUUUUUGUUUAAUUGAUUUUGCUUCCGAACAACAUCAAUAGGCCUGAAUAUUCCGGUAACUGUUUUUAUGAUGUGGUUUGAUUUGGAUCUUAGAGCACGGAAACUGUUGAUUCCAACGUCACUGAUUGACCAUGUGGCUUGAUGUUGCCAUUCAAGCUCAUGGCUCCUACUGAAAAUUCGAGUCCCUUCGAUAAGCAGAAUAAUGGAAAUGAACCAGAAGUCUGUUUUAUCUAGGGGUAGAGCGAAACCGCCUAACAGCACGACUGUUGCCCAGAUAAACCCCAGAGUUCCCAGGCCGGUGGCUGUUUUUUCCAGCACCGCUAGGCGGAGGGCAAAGAGAGUUACCUUCUUUUCUAUUGCACAGAUUAGGGGCCUCGAUAGAGAAGAUUCGGAGUCCGUACUGCUAGUAUUACUCUCUCUAGUUUCAAUGCUGCUUUGGGUUCGCAAAAUGGUUGGACUGGAGGUGCUAGGCUCAUCAAUUUGCAAAUGAACACUCCCUUUGCCUUUGGCAUACUGCCCCUGAUCCAUCUGGUUGGAUCAAGUUACGUCACAAAUUUUCGGCAAUAAACCAAACAUGUGCAUACAACACCACGAAAACAAAAUCAGGCAAACAUACAGAGAAUGCUUGUCGCAAAGAUUUACACGUGGUGCAGCAAGAAUACCUGCAUCCGCAGCUCACCCCAGAUUCCUCUGUGUUCUUGAAUGAGGAAGAAGUUGUUACAGAUGAUGACAGUCAGGUUAGCUAACUUCGUGGGCCGUUUGUCCAGUACUAAUCAGGCUUCACAAGCUCAAGAAUUACUUAAAUGCUUGUUUUGGUUGGAUAAUCAAGAAGAAUGUGGUAGGUUGAGGUUUGAGUUGUGAGCUGUGAAGGGGAGAAAUUUGGAGUUGUGGUAGUAUAAUCACAAGGGUAAAAUGAUAUUUUCUGUUCUGUUCUCCUAUGAGAAUGGAAGGAUUUUUUGAUUGGGUGACGAAAAAUCCGAUAGUCUUGAGCUGUGAAGGGGAGAAUUGUGGAGUUGUGGUUGUAUAGUUUAAUAGAGGAAAAUGAGCUUAGGGAGCACGUUUAUGCCGUGGGAAUCAGUAGGAAAUCCCUAUUUUUACCCCAGGAAAUUUGUUUUCUGUUUUUCCUUUUGUGUUCCAUUCCCUUGACUUUGGGGAAAGGACUUCCCUUUCCCUCUCAUCUCUUUCUCAAGGUGUCAAGAUCUCUCUUUUUUUGUACCUUAUUUGUUACACAAAAGGCAUAAGCUUUCCACUUUUGUGUAGUCUUUUCGUCCCAUUUUUAGUUGGCUGAAACAAAACCCAACUGUGAAAUGUCAAUAUUGCCCUUUGUAGGUUCUCUUGAAUGACUUUACGCAGAAAGGGUAUAAAGUUCAAGUUAGAAAAUUGUCUGGAUCCUUUGUUGUUUAGUUUUACAGGCUUUGUAAGUUACUCUACUCUAAAAUUGCUUUUGGGAUUUCCAUAUUAUGGAAGCCACCUAAAUAUAGUCCUUAACGCAAUAGAAUUUUAAAUCUCCAAUUUGACCGAUAUAUGGUUUUGACAUUGAUACCAUUACGUAUCUUAAUACCAAUAUAUGGAUUUCGAAGUUGUAAUAGCUCAUACAUAUCAUUAAGAUAUGACUCAGCCUAAUGAUGAACUAUUGUCUAUGCAGAUACUAUAUAUGGAGGAUAUUUUAAUUCGGUAUGUUUUCGUGCCAUAUAUAAAUUCUACCUUGUUAUAGGUUCAAAAUGUGCAGUGGUGGCAACUUAGGUGGUUGUGGCUUGCAGUGGAAAGUCUUCUGAUUCUGUUAAGUUAAAGAAUAGAAUGGGUCCCUUGUUCCCUGCUCCAUAAUCGCUUUCGAGUACACGAAUGUUCUUCUUAGGUAACAUGAUGCAUAGCAGCACAUGGAGAGAGAGAGAGAGAGAGAGAGAGAGAGAGAGAGAGAGAGAGAGAGAGAGAGAGAGAGAGAGAGAGAGAUUUGCUUAUUGUCUAAAAAUAAACACAAUCAUCUUUGGAAUGAAAUGUCAAAUGUUUUUUGGUGUGA
Molecule: long non-coding RNA, 2261 nt
Organism: Rhododendron vialii
Lineage: Eukaryota; Viridiplantae; Streptophyta; Magnoliopsida; Ericales; Ericaceae
Exons: 2
Source: RefSeq, a predicted model, not a curated record